This 239-nucleotide ribosomal RNA is filed under the name uncultured bacterium. RNAcentral describes it as "partial 16S ribosomal RNA". It matches the Rfam family "Bacterial small subunit ribosomal RNA", at positions 335 to 566 of the family's 1533-position model. The record is from RNAcentral.
ACUCCUACGGGAGGCAGCAGUGGGAAUAUUGCACGAAUGGGCGCAAGCCUGAUGCAGCCAUGCCGCGUGUGUGAAGAAGGGCCUUCGGGUUGUAAGCACUUUUCAGCGUGAGGAAGGUAGUGUAGUUAAUAGCUGCAUUAUUUUGACGUUAGCGACAGAAGAAGCACCGGCUAACUCCGUGCCAGCACCGCGGUAAUACGGAGGGUGCGAGCGUUAAUCGGAAUUACUGGGCGUAAAGC